RNAcentral lists this long non-coding RNA (900 nucleotides) under Olea europaea (common olive). RNAcentral describes it as "long non-coding RNA (OEUR_LNC007935)". The record is from RNAcentral. Lineage: Eukaryota; Viridiplantae; Streptophyta; Magnoliopsida; Lamiales; Oleaceae.
AAUUCUUAAAUCAGGUGAGGUGUUUCAUCUUUCAAAAAUCAGAAAUAUUUCCUUUGUCUCCAAUCUCAUUCUCUCUCCAUCUACACGUUUUCUCUUUCUUCCACACAAAUUUAUUCUCUUUCCAGUCUCAUUCUCUAUCCAUUAUUUCUCUUGCCAUUUUAUCUCUCCCCCUUCUUCUUCUCUUAGAUCACCUCCAAUCUCCUUUUCUCUCCAUUAUUUCUCCUGCCAUUUUCUCCCUCUCUCUUCGUCUUCUCUCAGAUCGCCCUCCCCAACUACCCCAACUGAGAAUGAGCUAAUCAGCUAGAAAUCUAAGAUCAGAAAUCAAAUAUGGCACCGAGCUAACCAUUCACGGCAUUGAUCUGUGGCGAUUGUGGAUCUAUGACGGAGUUCGUUGCAACGUUGCCGAUCGAUCUGUGGUGUUGCUGUGCAGCAGGGACUGUGGUGUUGGUGUGCGAUGGCGACUGUGGUGGCGUUGACUUGGCGUCUUCGUCCAUUAUCUGUUUAUAAAUGAUUCCAAAUGAUCUUUUUCCCCCUGAUAUGUAGCUUGGCAAGUCCAGGAGGAAUGAAAAUGUGGGGAGCAUCGGGGUAGCUCUCUUCGCCGACCGAUCUGCAAAUUUGUGGAGGCGUGUGGUUUUGGCCAGAGUUUUGUUGGUUGCGAUAUGGGGAAAGUUUGGUCACGAUCUGGUUGCUAUCCAGUGGUAGAUGUGGUGUUUGCGAUGCUAUGAGGUUCAGGUGGAUUGGCGGUGGUCAUGACGGUUUAGUUGGUGGUAUUUUAGAUUGUUUAGUUGAUUUUGUGACAAAUAAUUUGACCCGUAACCUAAAAAUUGGGAUUCACAGUUGGUGGUUAUGGUGGUCAUGGCGGUAGUCGUGGCGGUUUGGUUGAUUUGUGACUAAUAAUUG